Molecule: long non-coding RNA, 474 nt
Organism: Fundulus heteroclitus (mummichog)
Lineage: Eukaryota; Metazoa; Chordata; Actinopteri; Cyprinodontiformes; Fundulidae
Exons: 2
Source: RefSeq, a predicted model, not a curated record
GUCGACAGCUGCUUGAAUGAAAUGACAUAGCUGUUGGACCUGGUGCUGCAAAGAGAAGGCAUUAUGUUACUGCCUGACUGAAACUUGGAUGAGCGCACAUUUGUCUGUCGAACUAAGUAUUGCUAUUUAUGACCCUCUCAUAAACAACGAGGUACAGUUGAAAGUGGAGCUUUUCUACACCACCUUUGUCAUGGGAGAGAAACCAUGAACCUGAAGUGUGCCCAGUCAUAAAGAAAGCAAAGGCUAUCAUGGAUAAAGUGGACAUUACCAAUAAUAAAAGAACGUCCAUGCAACACACACGGUUCUCCCACGCAGACGUCGCCCUGCUACCUUCCUUCCCUCUGUCCCCCGACCCGACAAACCCGCUGACUCACCUGGGGACGCUGCUGCCCGGACACGACGCACCGCGGACCAGCGGAUGGGACAGGUAAUAACUUGGAGGCGGCGAAGUUGUUCACCUCCGACAAAAAGAAA